AACGAACGCUGGCGGCAUGCCUAACACAUGCAAGUCGAACGAGACCUUCGGGACUAGUGGCGCACGGGUGCGUAACGCGUGGGAACCUGCCCUUAGGUUCGGAAUAACUCCCCGAAAGGGGUGCUAAUACCGGAUAAUGUCUUCGGACCAAAGAUUUAUCGCCUUUGGAUGGGCCCGCGUUGGAUUAGCUAGUUGGUAGGGUAAAAGCCUACCAAGGCGACGAUCCAUAGCUGGUCAGAGAGGAUGAUCAGCCACACUGGGACUGAGACACGGCCCAGACUACUACGGGAGGCAGCAGUGGGGAAUAUUGGACAAUGGGCGAGAGCCUGAUGCAGCAAUGCCGCGUGAGUGAUGAAGGUCUGAGAGUUGUAAAGCUCUUUUACCCGGGAUGAUAAUGACAGUACCGGGAGAAUAAGCUCCGGCUAACUCCGUG
This 433-nucleotide ribosomal RNA is filed under the name uncultured bacterium. RNAcentral's name for it is "partial 16S ribosomal RNA". It matches the Rfam family "Bacterial small subunit ribosomal RNA", at positions 29 to 507 of the family's 1533-position model. The record is from RNAcentral.